This is a long non-coding RNA of Gallus gallus (chicken), 1526 nucleotides long. Lineage: Eukaryota; Metazoa; Chordata; Aves; Galliformes; Phasianidae. The record is from Ensembl.
GUUUGAGCAUCUUGGCUACACUAAUGGUCCUACAAGUAUCAUCCUCAAUACAAAAUUGCAGAGUUUGUCCUAUAGGUGGGUUCAACAAUGCACGUCUAGGUAUAGGCAAAAUUACAGACAGGUUUGGGAGCAAAAAGGUUUGUUUGCAUGCAGGUAGCUGAGCAGAAACACUGUGAAUGUGUGUCACUUAUUGGGCCCGUGUCUUCAGUUUACCUCGUGAAUGAGCGAUUUGUCUACUCCUCUGCACAUAAAAGAAUCUCCUCCAGAGGGCACCAUUGGUUCAAGCACGAUAUACACGCUACUAUUUGUGUGUGUGUGUCAAAUUCACAUGAGUAAAAUCAACUGUCACUGUACAGCCCGUCAUGGAUUUCCUGCUGUUAUGGACUACGAUACGUAAAUUGAGCAGAUUCAUUCUAAGAGUGACAAAUGUGAUAAUUCUCGGGAGAUUCCAUCUGGUAAUUUACAGAGAGCUUCCUGUCUGCUAUCUUCUCAGUUUCCCAAACCCACGAUAAUUAAAUGAACUGCAAUUUAUCUCUAAACCCGUAUGCUACUAAAUUUCUCUUAUUCCUUCUGGAGGAACAGCUGGAUUUCUGUAUUGUUAUUAAGCACUGGGCUAAUUAUUAGGUCUUCAAAGAGGAAGCAUAUAAAUAUGAUGAUAUAACACUGGCAUCAGAAAGCAAGGCAAGAAAAAGAUGGCAGUAAGAAAACAAAGUCACAUUUAACCCCCGUUUUUACUUUUGUAUGAUUGUCUUGCUGCAAGAGGAUUUAAUAGAUAGAACUGAACUACAUCCUGGGCCCUGGAGUGAGGAAUUCCUUCGAAGAACCAAGCCUUGUAUUCCUUACAAAAAGGAUUAGCGGUCUCUGAAUGCCUGACUAAUUUCUUAAGCACGGUUUGUGCCGCUAUAAAGAGAACUGUAGCAAUUCUAAUACUCCACUGCUAUUUGCUUCCUCUUAGCUGUAUCAAGGAAGACAGAGGCAGUGAAAGAAAGAACUAGAUGGAGCAAAAGAUCUGAGACUAGAGCAGAACAGUGCUGAAGUCAAGUCAGCUCGAAUCAUUUGCAAAAGUGCACAUCCACUUGGUGUAGAAGGAUCAGCUCUGAAAUGUGUAUUAAAAAAAAAAAAGCUUCACAAGCUGGAGGCACGUCAGUCAUUUUUAAUGGAAGCUAUGGGUAAAUUGGAUAGAGUAUCAAGGGUUCGGGUGCUAAUAAUUCCUGUGUCAGAGGUUACUUGUAUGCUAUUUGCACUAUUAGUACUUGUGCCCUCUGCAGCAGCUUCUGCUGUUCCGCCAGCUGCUGUCUGCUCCGCGCUGCGCACGCACUGCCUGGGGAUGGAGGCUUCGGCUCCAGCAGAGAGCUCAUCGCAGUCAGAAGACCUCUUGGUAUUUUGAGAUAAUGAUUAUUAUUAGUGCCAACACCCCUUUCGGGGGGACCACCGCACUAAACUAUAGCACAAAAUUGGCCGUCCCCAUUUGUUAAUUAAUUUUGUUUGUAAAAUACUCCUCUGAGGGAGAGGGAAUAAAUGUUACC